Long non-coding RNA from Acyrthosiphon pisum (pea aphid), 4535 nucleotides. RefSeq lists it as uncharacterized. NCBI's taxonomy places the organism in Eukaryota, Metazoa, Arthropoda, Insecta, Hemiptera, Aphididae. The record is from RefSeq and is a predicted model, not a curated record. The transcript has 11 exons.
ACUAAAAAAUAGUUUUCAAAUUUUCGUGAUUUUUACGAAUUUCGUCAAAAUUCUGACUUCAGACGCUCAUAAAAAAACUAUUGAGGAUUUACGCCGAACUUUUUUUUUAUUUCCACCAAAGACAACUUACGAGGAACGUUGUAGGCGUAUUACAUUCUCGAGUUAUUGGACAGAGCGAACAUUUUUUUUAUCGACAUAAAUUAUGAAAAAACUAAAAUAAUCGAACAUUUCAUAUGUAUAUGAAUACCUCGACACGAAUCUAAAAAUUUUUGAAAAUGUUACGGUUUUAAAUUCUAAUAUAAACAACCAGUUCAAAUUGCAUGUAUCUACAGACAUUGAAUUUAGAGUAACACCACCUACACGAAAAACCAAAACCGAUAUUAGGUAGGUACGUAAAAACUCACGUUUCCCUAAAUUUUUUUUUGUUUUUCCAGGCGCUUUUGGCGACCAGGCGGGCACUGUUCAUUUCGACAUGCCCUAUGCACCUACAAGAUUCACUUUCCCACAGGAAAAGAUGAAAAGCGAAGCAUUAUUUCGACUACUUAUCGUGCACACCGCCCCAAAUAAUAAAAAUGUAUUACGCAGAACGUACAUUUGCCAAUAGUUUCAAUAUAGUUCGAUUCACUCUAAUUUUUAAACUAACGAUGCUAAAUGUCAUCUGCUCAUCGUACAUUUUCUAUAUAUUAAGACGGAUACAAUAAAAUGCCCGUGUUACGUUUUAAAAUCUUGGAGCUGCAUCGUUCACGAUAUUUCGAAAAUUUAACGCCCGCGAACCUGUCUUAUCACUAUACGAACACGAAAUUGUAAUAAUGUUAUCAAAUAAAUAACAACAUCAUAUUAUUAUAUUUUCGUAUGCCGACUUUAAAUUUGAAUCACUCUCGAAUCGCGAUUAUUUGAAAUUCGAACAAAAAAUACAGACCACAGAACAGUCGUACCGAGUUCCAUUCAUACAAUUUAAUAUAAAAUCACCAUGGAUAAGUGUAUUCUUUCCAGUAAAACAUCCAAAGUAUCGCCUCGCCACAUUACGUACAUUUUCAUUUGUAAGUAUUAUUUUCUAGUUGUAGUGAUUAUAUUUCUUAAUAAUAUGGAGUCAGUCUAAUUUGCUAAUUCGUUCACAAAUAUAGAUUUCCAAAAAAUCAAUGAAAUAGAAAGAAAUAAUGGCUAAAAAUGUUCGAAUUAAAUGAUUGUCGCGAUAAUUUCUACCUGGCAUAGAAUCUGCGGUAGGUAAUCAUUUCACAAUAAUUAGUGAUGGUAAACAAUGGUCAGUAAAUUAGUAAACACGGUGUCAGAGGCUGUCUCAAAACAUAAUCCAAACCACUUGUCUGGUAUAGAGAAGUAAAAUAAAUGUUAUAGUGAUUCACGGCAAUAUUGGUACUACUCUGCGCACGACUAGUAAAUCGCAUCUAAGAGAAAAUUUUGUUUCUCCAACGAUGAGUUAGUAGUAAAUGAACAGACGAAUAUAAAGCAUUUGGAGGCCAUGAUUUUAAUUCACCCAGAAAUAAGCCUUAGAUACCCAAUAAUGUCUAAUUCACACACACUUAUCUAAGUAUAUCACUCAAGUAUCCGAUUUUAAACGUUUGCCAAGACCAAAAGUCACUUAAUAGUUUAUCGUUUUUAGUCCACACAGGGGAUUAUACUUAUAAUGUUUUUCAAAACUGAAAUAUUAUAUUAUGAUGUACCACAUACACGGAACUGGGAAGUGGAGCCAACGCAUUGACAAAUUUUCAGACGUUGACUUUCUUGGAGAUAAUUCUACCGACUCAGAUGAAGCCAUUCAAUAUUGGAGAGAAUUAUGAAACUUAAAGGUAAUACAAUUUUGCUGACCAAGAAUCCAAUUUUAACAACGCAGAGGGCCUCAACAUAUUUAAAUUGCAAAGAAACACACGACUAGUUAUUGGACAUUGGUAUCUUUUCUGAAGGGAAAGUGCAUCUAGUUGGAUGCGUUAAACAGGUUGCCAAACCCGUUCCCAUUUGCAACGAGGAGAGACAAACUUCUUUGAAAAAUGAGUGUGCUAUUACCAAAAAGCUUCAGUGGCUGUUAUUAAAAUUCUUCUACUGUCGACAAUGGACAUGCUCGAUGAAGACUUUUGAACUAUGUAUAUUCUGAUAUGGCGCUUUUGGCGACUAGGCGGGCACUGUUCAUUUCGACAUGCCCUAUGCACCUACAAGAUUCACUUUCCCACAGGAAAAGAUGAAAAGCGAAGCAUUAUUUCGACUACUUAUCGUGCACACCGCCCCAAAUAAUAAAAAUGUAUUACGCAGAACGUACAUUUGCCAAUAGUUUCAAUAUAGUUCGAUUCACUCUAAUUUUUAAACUAACGAUGCUAAAUGUCAUCUGCUCAUCGUACAUUUUCUAUAUAAGACGGAUACAAUAAAAUGCCCGUGUUACGUUUUAAAAUCUUGGAGCUGCAUCGUUCACGAUAUUUCGAAAAUUUAACGCCCGCGAACCUGUCUUAUCACUAUACGAACACGAAAUUGUAAUAAUGUUAUCAAAUAAAUAACAACAUCAUAUUAUUAUAUUUUCGUAUGCCGACUUUAAAUUUGAAUCACUCUCGAAUCGCGAUUAUUUGAAAUUCGAACAAAAAAUACAGACCACAGAACAGUCGUACCGAGUUCCAUUCAUACAAUUUAAUAUAAAAUCACCAUGGAUAAGUGUAUUCUUUCCAGUAAAACAUCCAAAGUAUCGCCUCGCCACAUUACGUACAUUUUCAUUUGUAAGUAUUAUUUUCUAGUUGUAGUGAUUAUAUUUCUUAAUAAUAUGGAGUCAGUCUAAUUUGCUAAUUCGUUCACAAAUAUAGAUUUCCAAAAAAUCAAUGAAAUAGAAAGAAAUAAUGGCUAAAAAUGUUCGAAUUAAAUGAUUGUCGCGAUAAUUUCUACCUGGCAUAGAAUCUGCGGUAGGUAAUCAUUUCACAAUAAUUAGUGAUGGUAAACAAUGGUCAGUAAAUUAGUAAACACGGUGUCAGAGGCUGUCUCAAAACAUAAUCCAAACCACUUGUCUGGUAUAGAGAAGUAAAAUAAAUGUUAGUGAUUCACGGCAAUAUUGGUACUACUCUGCGCACGACUAGUAAAUCGCAUCUAAGAGAAAAUUUUGUUUCUCCAACGAUGAGUUAGUAGUAAAUGAACAGACGAAUAAAGCAUUUGGAGGCCAUGAUUUUAAUUCACCCAGAAAUAAGCCUUAGAUACCCAAUAAUGUCUAAUUCACACACACUUAUCUAAGUAUAUCACUCAAGUAUCCGAUUUUAAACGUUUGCCAAGACCAAAAGUCACUUAAUAGUUUAUCGUUUUUAGUCCACACAGGGGAUUAUACUUAUAAUGUUUUUCAAAACUGAAAUAUUAUAUUAUGAUGUACCACAUACACGGAACUGGGAAGUGGAGCCAAUGCAUUGACAAAUUUUCAGACGUUAACUUUCUUGGAGAUAAUUCUACCGACUCAGAUGAAGCCAUCAUACAAUAUUGGAGAGAAUUAUGAAACUUAAAGGUAAUACAAUUUUGCUGAGCAAGAAUCCAAUUUUAAUAACCCGGAGGGCUUCUACAUAUUUAAAUUGCAAAGAAACACAUAACUAGUUUGGACAUUGGUAUCUUUUCUGAAGGGAAAGUGCGUCUAGUUGGAUGCGUUAAACAGCUUGACGUUUUCAGAAAAUUUUGUUUCUCCAACGAUGAUUUAGAAGUAAAUGAACAGACGAAUAAAGAAUUUGGAGGCCAUGAUUUUAAUUCACCCAGAAAAGCCUUAGAUACCCAAUAAUGUCUAAUUCACACACACUUAUUCCACACAGGGGAUUAUACUUAUAAUGUUUUUCAAAACUGAAAUAUAUUAUGAUGUGCCACAUACACGGAACUGGGAAGUGGAGCCAAUGCAUUGACAAAUUUUCAGACGUUGACUUUCUUGGAGAUAAUUCUACCGACUCAGAUGAAGCCAUACAAUAUUGGAGAGAAUUAUGAAACUUAAAGGUAAUACAGUUUUGCUGACCAAGAAUCCAAUUUUAACACCGUAGAGGGCCUCAACAUAUUUAAAUUGCAAAGAAACACAUAACUAGUUUUGACAUUGGUAUCUUUUCUGAAGGGAAAGUGCAUCUAGUUGGAUGCGUUACACAGGUUGUCAAACCCAUUCCCAUUUGCAUCGAGGAGAGACAAACUUCUUUGAAAAAAGAGUGUGCUAUUACCAAAAAGCUUCAGUGGCUGUUAUUAAAAUUCUUCUACUGUCGACAAUGGACAUGCUCGAUGAAGACUUUUGAACUAUGUAUAUUCUGAUAUGGUACCUAUUUCCUUUGAUUUGUGUACUUAUUUUACAUAUGUUUCCCCCCGCCACCCAUCAGAAAGUAAUUAGUUAGUUUAUUUAACCAAAGAAAACUGUACCUACUCACUGUGUUUGUGAAUAAAAUUAUUUUGUCAAUGACUAAUUUAAGAAAACUUUAUUUUUAAAUUUUAUAAUAAAAAAGAAAAGUAGGUGCCUAUUUUUAAAUCUUAAUGAACUAUACCAUCAUGCUUUUCCUAUUUGUCGUAUCGAUAGUUUAUAUGUAUUUUAAAAUUUAGAAAUA